RNAcentral lists this unclassified non-coding RNA (347 nucleotides) under fungal sp. RNAcentral's name for it is "partial internal transcribed spacer region". The stretch from base 1 to 45 matches the Rfam family "Eukaryotic small subunit ribosomal RNA", at positions 1787 to 1831 of the family's 1831-position model. Lineage: Eukaryota; Fungi. The record is from RNAcentral.
AGUCGUAACAAGGUUUCCGUAGGUGAACCUGCGGAAGGAUCAUUACAAAAUGUAGAGGUUGGUGUUCGUGUGUGUGUUUCUCAUCACCCCUUCACGGGACUUGUGAUCACCACUUGACAUCUCAACUUUCUUCAACCCACUUGUGCACAAUUGAACUGUAUCUGGCGAGUGUCUCACUGUUUCCAAAGUGAUUGUUGUACCUUUGCAUCACGCAUUGGUGCGCAACACCCAGGAUCCACAGCCUCGCCACCAGUAUCUCCACACACAUCACUUUUUGACACUGACUGACGAUGUAAAAACAUAAACAAAUAGAGAAACAACUUUUAACAACGGAUCUCUUGGCUCUU